RNAcentral lists this ribosomal RNA (320 nucleotides) under uncultured eukaryote. Its description in RNAcentral is "partial 18S ribosomal RNA". It matches the Rfam family "Eukaryotic small subunit ribosomal RNA", at positions 1470 to 1796 of the family's 1831-position model. The record is from RNAcentral.
CCCUUAGACGUUCUGGGCCGCACGCGCGCUACACUGAACAGUUCAACAAGUCUUAACCUUGGCCGAUAGGUCUGGGUAAUCUUUGAACGCUGUUCGUGAUUGGGAUAGACCUUUGCAAUUAUGGGUCUUCAACGAGGAAUUCCUAGUAAACGCAAGUCAUCAGCUUGCAUUGAUUACGUCCCUGCCCUUUGUACACACCGCCCGUCGCACCUACCGAUUGAAUGGUCCGGUGAAAUCUCGGGACGGCGGCUUGGUCGCUUGCGUCCGACUGCUGAAACUUGAUUAAACCAUAUCAUUUAGAGGAAGGUGANGUCGUNACA